GUAGGUGGCAAGCGUUGUCCGGAAUUAUUGGGCGUAAAGCGCGCGCAGGCGGUUCUUUAAGUCUGAUGUGAAAGCCCACGGCUCAACCGUGGAGGGUCAUUGGAAACUGGAGAACUUGAGUACAGAAGAGGAAAGCGGAAUUCCACGUGUAGCGGUGAAAUGCGUAGAGAUGUGGAGGAACACCAGUGGCGAAGGCGGCUUUCUGGUCUGUAACUGACGCUGAGGCGCGAAAGCGUGGGGAGCAAACAGAAUUAGAUACCCUGGUAGUCCACGCCGUAAACGAUGAGUGCUAAGUGUUAGGGGGUUUCCGCCCCCCUUAGUGCUGCAGCUAACGCAUUAAGCACUCCGCCUGGGAGUACGGCCGCAAGGCUG
RNAcentral lists this ribosomal RNA (372 nucleotides) under uncultured organism. RNAcentral's name for it is "partial 16S ribosomal RNA". It matches the Rfam family "Bacterial small subunit ribosomal RNA", at positions 527 to 896 of the family's 1533-position model. The record is from RNAcentral.